GCCAGGCACAGUGGUGCAUGCCUGUAAUCCCAACAGCUUAGGAGGCUGAGGCAGGAGGAUUAUGAGUUCAAAAAAAGCCUCAGCAACUUAGUGAGGUCCUAAGCAACUCAGUGAGACCCUGUCUCUA
This 127-nucleotide small RNA is filed under the name Marmota monax (woodchuck). The record is from RNAcentral. Lineage: Eukaryota; Metazoa; Chordata; Mammalia; Rodentia; Sciuridae.